AGGCCCAUGAGGGGAUCGAACCUACGACCUUCGCUUUUUUAUCACGACGCUCUAACCAACUGAGUUAAUGGGCC
Araneus ventricosus is the source of this 74-nucleotide non-coding RNA. The record is from the annotation of a GenBank genome assembly. NCBI's taxonomy places the organism in Eukaryota, Metazoa, Arthropoda, Arachnida, Araneae, Araneidae.